This 253-nucleotide ribosomal RNA is filed under the name uncultured bacterium. RNAcentral's name for it is "partial 16S ribosomal RNA". It matches the Rfam family "Bacterial small subunit ribosomal RNA", at positions 524 to 776 of the family's 1533-position model. The record is from RNAcentral.
UACGUAGGGUGCGAGCGUUAAUCGGAAUUACUGGGCGUAAAGCGUGCGUAGACGGUUAUUUAAGUCGGGUGUGAAAGCCCCGGGCUCAACCUGGGAAUUGCAUUCGAGACUGAAUAGCUAGGGUACGGUAGAGGGAAGUGGAAUUUCCGGUGUAGCGGUGAAAUGCGUAGAUAUCGGAAGGAACAUCAGUGGCGAAAGCGACUUCCUGGACCAGCACCGACGUUCAGGCACGAAAGCGUGGGGAGCAAACAGG